Molecule: ribosomal RNA, 1346 nt
Filed under: uncultured bacterium
Lineage: Bacteria
Description: partial 16S ribosomal RNA
Rfam family: Bacterial small subunit ribosomal RNA
Source: RNAcentral
GACGAACGCUGUUGGCGUGCUUAACACAUGCAAGUCGAACGGAAAGGCCCUGCUUUUGUGGGGUGCUCGAGUGGCGAACGGGUGAGUAACACGUGAGUAACCUGCCCUUGACUUUGGGAUAACUUCAGGAAACUGGGGCUAAUACCGGAUAGGAGCUCCUGCUGCAUGGUGGGGGUUGGAAAGUUUCGGCGGUUGGGGAUGGACUCGCGGCUUAUCAGCUUGUUGGUGGGGUAGUGGCUUACCAAGGCUUUGACGGGUAGCCGGCCUGAGAGGGUGACCGGCCACAUUGGGACUGAGAUACGGCCCAGACUCCUACGGGAGGCAGCAGUGGGGAAUAUUGCACAAUGGGCGGAAGCCUGAUGCAGCAACGCCGCGUGCGGGAUGACGGCCUUCGGGUUGUAAACCGCUUUCGCCUGUGACGAAGCGUGAGUGACGGUAAUGGGUAAAGAAGCACCGGCUAACUACGUGCCAGCAGCCGCGGUGAUACGUAGGGUGCGAGCGUUGUCCGGAUUUAUUGGGCGUAAAGGGCUCGUAGGUGGUUGAUCGCGUCGGAAGUGUAAUCUUGGGGCUUAACCCUGAGCGUGCUUUCGAUACGGGUUGACUUGAGGAAGGUAGGGGAGAAUGGAAUUCCUGGUGGAGCGGUGGAAUGCGCAGAUAUCAGGAGGAACACCAGUGGCGAAGGCGGUUCUCUGGGCCUUUCCUGACGCUGAGGAGCGAAAGCGUGGGGAGCGAACAGGCUUAGAUACCCUGGUAGUCCACGCUGUAAACGGUGGGUACUAGGUGUGGGGUCCAUUCCACGGGUUCCGUGCCGUAGCUAACGCUUUAAGUACCCCGCCUGGGGAGUACGGCCGCAAGGCUAAAACUCAAAGGAAUUGACGGGGCCCCGCACAAGCGGCGGAGCAUGCGGAUUAAUUCGAUGCAACGCGUAGAACCUUACCUGGGUUUGACAUGGAUCGGGAGUGCUCAGAGAUGGGUGUGCCUCUUUUGGGGUCGGUUCACAGGUGGUGCAUGCCUGUCGUCAGCUCGUGUCGUGAGAUGUUGGGUUAAGUCCCGCAACGAGCGCAACCCUUGUUCACUGUUGCCAGCACGUUAUGGUGGGGACUCAGUGGAGACCGCCGGGGUCAACUCGGAGGAAGGUGGGGGUGACGUCAAGUCAUCAUGCCCCUUAUGUCCAGGGCUUCACGCAUGCUACAAUGGCUGGUACAGAGAGUGGCGAGCCUGUGAGGGUGAGCGAAUCUCGGAAAGCCGGUCUCAGUUCGGAUUGGGGUCUGCAACUCGACCUCAUGAAGUCGGAGUCGCUAGUAAUCGCAGAUCAGCAACGCUGCGGUGAAUACGUUCCCGGGGCU